CCCUCCGCCGCCGCCGCCCCUUCCCCCGGCUUCGGCGGCUCCCUCUCCUUUGUUGGAGGGUUUUCCCGGGCCGCGGGAGGCAGCGGGCCGAGGCGGUAACACAAAAGUGCCAUGUUCCACUCCCAAAUGCUGCUUUCCUACGCUCCGUUACUAGCUGCUGCCCUGUGAUACACAAAGUUCCCCCAAACAAGACUGAAGCUUGCACUGUGAGAAACCUAUCUUCUGUGACACGUUUUAGCGAGGUCAAUAAAUGAUUCAUUUUGGAUGAUUCAGUGUAAGUAAACGUUGCUGCAAUCCCCCUUUUUUGUGGGAGAUUUCUCAACAUGGAGAAGCUUGAGUGGAGGUACAGUAACAAAGCUUGUUGUAAACCAGCAACCACUGAAAGAUAGUUAAGUACACAAAAGAUAAAGGAUAUUUACACAAUAAGCCAAGCUUGGCUACCCUCAGAGUGCUCUUUUGGCGAAAAGAAGAUACUUCUCUGAUGAAGUAUUUCUUAGAUGAAUGCAGAAUAUACACUUUGAAUGUUUUUUGACUGAAAUUUUCUUUGCCAGACUAAAUGGAAACUCCUUAACCCCUAAUAGAACAUGCAUUUUUUUCCCACUAAAACCAUAAAAAUAUUAUUAGGUGUCCAACUGCAAAUGUGUGAUGGCAAACACUCUCAAUGAUUUAUUCAUUAUUGUUUAGAAGUAUUUGUGCUCUCUCACUAGGUACAUGUUUAUGUAGCAAAACUUGGAGGAUUUUUCUUCAAAAGGCAAAGCUGAAUUUAUAUAAUCCGAAAAAGAGCACAGAAUGGAUUGUUUUCCUUUGCUUGGUGUUGCUCUUGCAUUACAUUUUUAAAACAUGGCACUGAUACCAGCUGUGUUAUUAACAGGCAAAGGAUUUUAGAAGCAAACAUGGUCUGAGAUGUUCUUAUGGCACUUGCUGCACUUAUGGUCUGCUCAGCUUUUGUGACCUGGUGAAUGAGACUUUGGAUCCAGAUGCCAGUGAUAAACCAUCACAGAGCACAGCACCCAUUUUGCCACAGUAAGAAAUGUGGGCAAUAUCUCCUAUUCUGGAUACAUUUGCGACUCCCAGUGAAAGCAAUGAAAGUUUGGGCAAGGAAAGAACACAGCGCUAGGCCUGGAUAGGACUUGGAGGCUGAGUUGGCAGGUUGUUGCACACGCUUGUUUUAAAAUUUCUGUUGUCAGCUUUAGUAGAGGUAAUGUUUUUCUCAGAGUAAUUCACACUCAUUUUCCGGCUAUUUUCAGACAUGAAAUGUCAGCUUUUCAUAGGAAAGGCAAUACUGACUUGUCUGCUUGAUGCCAAAUAACAAAAUUGACCUAAAUUACAGUUAUUAUAUUUGUAGUUUAAAAAUUCUUCUUUUGUUAUGUUUACAGAGCUGAAAUAUUUUAACUUCAGUUUUCUUUUUCCACAAUGUGCAAGGUUGCCAUUUGGAUAAAGCUGAUGAACAGCAUCCAUCCCCGGAGAUGCACACAGGAAGAAUCCUGGUUCAGGGAAGCAGUGUGCACCCUCUGAAUGAAGUUUUAGCCCCCUUUGCAGAAUGUGAGCAAUAGCCACGUGAAACCAGUUGUAUCCCUCAAAAGAAGGGCUAAGGAACUAGAUCUGCACCUGAUGCAAACUGCCCUAACUCCUUUGUUUCCAGCUGAAAUGCAAUGACACUCAUUGUAAACAAUCUCAUGCCGUUUUCCAAAGUGCCAUCAGACUAGAUGCUGGGAGCAAUGAAUUCCUGCUUAUACAAUUUCAUUAGUGUUUUCUUUUUUUAUGAAAGUUUUUUUUAUGUUAAUUUUUCCCUUUCGAGGAGCUCAUAGUACAAACAAUAACUUUCCAGGAAGUAAUUGUCUCUCCAUUCAAUUUUUCUUAAACAGAACAAAUUUCUGUUUGCUAAAUCAACCUGAUUUACUAAUUAACAUCUGGAUCAUAUGUGCACACUAUGCACAUAUACAAUAAUUCCACAAUUAUAUUAUAUUAGCUGUUUAAAGGCUCAUCUAAUUUCACUCUAUACAUAAUCCUUGAAAAUGAGAUUUGCAUAAAGUAAUUUAAAGUAGACAGGGCAAACUAGAAGUAUAUAAUUAUGUGUCACUCUGAAAUAAAUACAUUUUCAGCUUUCAGUUUCCAUAACUGAGUUCAUUGGAACAUAAUUUAGCCUCUGAAUAUCUGAAUUAAUAACAAAAAGACAGUAUUCUACUUUCAUAUAUGGAAAUUUACGUGGAAUUUGCAGACAGGAUCUUCUUUGUUAUACUUGCUGGAUUACCUUCAGGGAGAGCAAGCCUUGAGAGCAUUGAAAAAUGAUCUUUCUCUAGAAGCUUGGGGGAGGGAGGAAGGUAAGAAUCACUCUCCAGUCUAGUUGUUUAGUCUAUUAAACAAUUAACAUAGGAGACUUGUUCCUAUGAAGAUUUUUCCCCUUCUCAUGUGGAGAACUUAAACUACUAACCUUGGUUCUGUGAAUUAUAUCCAAAUUCGAUGCCUGGAGUAACCUAAAGUGUGCAAUAUAAGUAUCCCCCAGCCUCCAAGAUGAACCUCCUUUUUUGGACUCACUGUUAGUUUGAGACUAGCCUAUGACGUUAUUGACUAGGGAUUUUAACAGUUCUUCACAGACCGUUCAGAAUUCAUGAGAUUAUACGAUAAUGAUCCAGGCCUAGCGAAGUGAAUACACUCCUUUUUUGUUUUCUCUGUCAGGUUCCAACUCACGGUAGACAUAUUUCCCUAAUCUAAUAAUUCUGUCAUGGGCUCAGAAUUGCCAGUGGUAAGCCUGCUGUUCAAUCUCCGUACAUAUUGGCAACGCACAUUACAAUGAUUUCAUUAUGUUUGCUAAUAUUUGUUAGUUGUAUAAGCUCAACUCCAGGAGUCAAGUGGUUACACAGGGAACUUAGUUUGCAUUAAGAGAAAUAAAUCAAGUCCUCUCCAUGACAAAAUAGAGCUGUGAAAUGUGUAAGGCUGGCAAUAAUAAAUGUCAAUUGAAUGGAAGUUGAAUCAGUUCCAGAGUCUGACAGCACACACUCCUGUUGUUAAACAUAAUUCUUCUUCUUAUAUGCUGAUCAAGAACGUAGCACUGGUGAAUUUUCAGUUCGAUUGAACAAUGAUGUCUGAGAAGUUGGAUAACAGCUAAUAAUUUUAAAAUAAAUAAUGUAGGUGUAUUUUUGCAUUCAUCUGACAUUCAUAAAAGUUAUACAGCUAUGCUUAAAGUUAAAUACAUUGUUGGAGAUUUCUGUUACCAUGUCAAGCUCCAUAUACACUUUAAAGGGGCUCUUAAAGAAAAAAAUUCCUCUGCUCAGGGUUCAGAAAUGAAUGUAGCAGACAGUAUUUUGAUGAUGAAUUUGUGCUGGGAAUUAGGAGGAUUCUAGCCAACAAAGGAAUGAGAUUCUAGAACAUCUUUCCGUAGGAGCUACUGGGAGAAAAAAAAUAAAGCUAAUUAAUUUUGAGGUAGAGUUGACAAAUUAAUGAAAGGAACAAGAAACAUACCUGCAAUACCAGGACUCUAUAGGAUACCAGAAAGUCCCUUUGAAUUAUAGAAAGCCAUCAAAAAUUCUAACAUAACGAUAGUAUGAGGACUGAAGAGAAGAAAGCCAUUGUGUCAUCAGGGAUAGUUUUACAAAGAUUUGGGACAGCGUGGAUGCCUCUGGGCAACAGGUCCUGUCCUGAGUUAGACAUUUCUCCAGGAUGCCGAGAAGACAGUGAAAGCAACGUGAGGAGACUUAUUUGAAUGUUCCCUUGAACAAAUAGCAAAUUUAUGACUGGCUCGUACUUGAAAAUAACGGCCAGAGUGAGUAAUUCAGGAGUAGUCCAUAAACUCCAAUACAACUGCAUAAAGAACUCAUUGAAUAACUGAAUAAUGGACCAGCACAUAAAAAUUGGAUUGUUUGCUGGUAAAUUUCAAUAGGAAAAAAAGCCAAAAAGAAUAGGUUAAAUUCCCUGAAUAAAUUCUUUAUUGCAAAUAAUUUUCCUAGCUCUAAUGAACAGAGUUUGCUCCAGCAGCAGACAGAAUAGGGCUGUAAUGAUGGAUGAGAUCUUUGUCAUGUUCUAAGUAUACUCUUCAGUAUAUGAUCUUUACCCAUUGCAAAAUGAAAAUGAUGUCUGUAAGUCCUUUAAGAUUACAUAAAAUGUAGUGUCCUAGCCAAAGCCAGGUGAAGCAGACCUUGAACCAGCCUUCAGGGAAGGCAGGACCAGGCUAACAGGUAAGGGGGCCUCCUUUCUGGACCUGGGCAGCAUGAGAGGGAGUGGUGCAAGCCCUCCCUCGCCCUGCCCCCUUCACUGCUGCAGCUGCAGCUCCCCUCCCUAAGCCCUUAAGUGUAACUCCAAUUUGACAGCUUGCAUGGGUGUGAAUACAUUUAUGUAAAAAAGCAACCCUGCCAACCUUAGAUGAAUUAAACAACUAUGACACACACUGGGCCAGAUUCUCUAACGCACUACAACAAUUUACAGUGCUGUGACUUUUAACUCCGGCUCAUUUUUAAUACUAUGGUUAACACAGCUGUACACAGAUACUGCAGUGCUUGCUGUGGAUAUUAAAAUGUACAAGUGCUUUUGUCUGAGAUUGCUUUUGGCAGUGAAUUCAUAUAAUGUUUUAAAAUGUUGGUACUAUGAAAUAAGGACUAUGUUAGCAUUUACAUUUCUAGUAUCAGAGGUCAUAUCUAUUUAUCCUUAACAAAGUUUUCUAAUAUGUCUUGAUGUAUUUAUAUAAACCUUUACAGCAGAGACUGUGUGUUUUGCUAACUCUUCUCUGUGUGGCGCUCAAUUAAUGUCACAGCCUAAGAAUGUUGCCAGGGUAUAUAUAAAAAAGGUUUUGUACUUUCAUCUUAAACAGUUCAUAAUUCUGUUUUUUAUCCACUUGCUUAUGCAAAGGAAAAAUGGGGUUAAAACUUGGGAGCAAAUAACAACCUGUAUAAUGUUUCCACAAAAGCGAAUGAAACCAGAAAUAUCUGUGUCAGUCACUUGUUUUCUAGUGUCUGUCACCUCUUUGCUGAAUCAACUAAUUCAGAAGUGUAAUAUGUUCGUUUUAUAUUUUCAAAUGUCACUAUUCGAUAGAAAAUGUCAUCUUUUCAGCAGGAACAAGGAACUUAACAAUAUCAUAAUGAAACUGCAGUGAACUUGUAGAUAUGAAUUUGACCUACCUGUGGUUCAUUCUUCAUACCUAUGAAGAGUUUUGUUAGCCCCAAGGAGCAGAAAGGUAAUUUGAGCUAGGCUGGGGACACAUAGUGACAUAGGAACAAGCAGUUGCGCCGCUCUCUGGCUGUGAGGGAACUCUUUUGGUUCAAAUGUUAUGGUAAAUAUUGAAACUUGAAAGAAAUGAAUAAUUUAAGAUGAAAUGUUUGCUGUUAUGCAGACAUGUUACCAUGUUUGAUCAGCUCUUUUGUAGCAGAAAAAGAAGCAUUAUUAAGAAAGUGGUAGGAGAGAAGCAGCUGUGCAAAGAUAGCAUCUUUUCAUUCAACACGUUCCAUUCCUCUGGAUGUGGGAUUAUGCUCAUUAGUCUUCUUGUUGGAUGGGGUUUUGAGGUAGAAUACCUAAAAUCUGGUAGUAGAAUUGUGCAGUUUUUUUUCAUGUCUGCAUAUCUCCCUUCUUCCUCAUUCCAGUAAUACAAUGUCCUUUUUGACUCGAUGCAUCUCUGGGAGCCAAAAUAGAAGGAGUGGUCCUUGCAUUUUGGCGAGUACACACUUGCCGGGAAACCAGUAUCAUUGUGCAUAUGCAAAAACUGUUCUUAAGGAUCCAAAGGAGUUUAUGCUGUAUUUAUUCCACUGAAAAGCCAGUCCCAUGAAAAGUGUGUUUUCUGGUUAUGUAUUAUCAGUAAACUUGUUCCAGCUGUUGGAUAUUGGUAUGAUCAAGUCAGGAAGAACCUGGCUUCAUAGUCCAGGCUAAACUUCAGAUGACAAGAGCGAAGAAAAUCACUUUUUAAUGAACACUUUCAAAAAGAUCUCAAAUGAGGAAGAAAAGAAUAACAGUGUCUUUUUAAGGGCUUUUGAGAAAAGGAGCACAUUUAUACUAUAUAGCUCUAUGAAAAGUGUAAGCCAAGAAUAGCAGUCUUGUCCUUCCUCUGCCUCUAAAUACAAGCUGUUGCCCUCUCAGCUGCUCCUUUAAUUAGACUAACACAAGCAUUCUCAUAGCUGAACAGCAAACCAGUUUGAACAAAUCUGGAGUAAAAUUAAUCAUUACUAUUUUUCUCUCAAGUUAGCUGUGAACUGGUCCCAUUCCUCCAUUUGGUUCACUGUUUGGCCAUGCAAAUACUUGUACUGGCAGCAGGCUGGCAGCAACAAGGGGACAAGAACAAGCAGCUUGCAACAGAGAAAGGGCAAGGCCACUCUUUCUGGCAGCAGUGCUAUACUGCUUAUGGAAUUGCAGUGUUAAAACAUCCCACCCCAGCUGUAUUAGGCUAUUUCUGCUUAUACUGACAGAACCAAUGUAGAUAAAGCUACAUGGAGUGAGAGAUUUGGACAAGACAAUCAAAAACUGUGCUGUUACAGUGGCUGGAGUGUUCACUGGUAAUGAGGUCUCAAGUAGUUAAAGACAGUUUAAAAGCCAACAGUAUUGCAAUCAGUAGCACAGCUUUUGUGAAGAGAUGUUGAGACCAAAUCCAGAUUUGUGCUGCAGCUGGUUAGCGCUACAUUGCUGACACAAAGCAGCUCUAAAGCUGGGCUAGACGAUGAAUGCAGGGGACUGGCAUAGCAUCUCUUAUGCCAUUGCUCUCCUGGCAGCUGGUAUAUGUCUGCCUGGGAAGGGAGUGUGGCCAGAUCAUUCCUGAUCUGUGACUGUCUAAACUGUCCCAGGAGCCAUUAGUUGUUGGUACAAGCCGGAAUCAGUAUAUCUCAUUUAAAAUUACCAUAAGAACAGAAUAGGAGUAAAUGCACACACCUCCAGGCUGCUGCUCCUCAAAGUGAGCUGUACACUGUUUGGCUGUAUGAUUUUUCCUGUUUCACAGACAUGCCCACUAACAAAGAAAACUAAGGAAAAUAAAUACUUUUCAAUGCAUGAAAAAGAUCCUCUUCAUUCCUUAUGGCUAUUGGAACACUCACUAAGUGAUCAGUUAAAACAUGUCUUUGAUGGAAAUGAAAAAUGACCUGUAAUUUGGAAUAUACAAAGCACUUGAUAGCUAUCUGAUAAUAUUACAAUGUAUAAAAAGUUCACUUCCUACAGCUGGUUUGUGUAGAGCUCUGUGGGCAGGUGAGGCCACAUAGCUUAUUAUGGAGACAUUUAAAACACACAAUUACCCUGUCCAUUUCCAGGAAUAGAAUGUAUAUAUGACGCAAUCAAAAACCAGUCCAUCCCUAUUAGGUGGCAGAUUCUCUUUCAGCCAAGAGUACAGUGAUCGCGUGAUGGAGAGUAUGUUGUGCGCUCAGUCAUGGUGCUGGAUUUGCAUUCACCUGUGAGGGAGGGUCAUGUGAACCAGGGCCCUGGCAGGGGCCAUACCAUUGCAAAGGGAAUAACACCACUGUGGUGACAUGCGUGAAGGGUCUCAGGCUUGCAAGAAGAUGUGACCUUCAGGAUUCACCAGUGGAAAGGGAGAAGAAGAGAGAAGGACUGAGACUGGUGAACUGUUCUGACUGCCAGGGCAGCUGUGGGUGACCAGCAUUAGGGAAAAGUAAGAAUUUAUAAAGGUGCUUGCAAAUGCUUCCCAAGUGAAGAGCAUGGACAAAAAUACAAAAUGCAGGAUGACUUUAUUAUUUUAAUUACCAUUGCUUGCAUCUAGGUCCCAGAUGUUAAAAUAAAGAUAUUUCUUGUACAUGGAGCAUCUAAACACUUUGAUCAUAAGGAUGCAGUCAGCCAUUGAUCUGUAGAGCUAAGCAGCAUUCUUUACAUUGGUAAAAUCAUAUUACUGAACUGUCACACUUUGUCAAAAGAAUUUACUGACAGGAACUGAUAAAGAGAUGUGCUCUCUAUAUAUUUGUUAAUACUGAUGGUGAUCCUGGGUUCAUGAGAUACAUAGGAAGUUCAAGGUGCUCUCGCUGUAAUCAACGUGCUGCAGGUAAUAACGAAACUGAAAAACUUCUGCUCAUUUCCUUUUCCAGCCUUAGAAUCAAAUUCUGCACUCAAGGCAAAAAACGUGCAGUUUCCAUUUGCUUAGACGACUUUUAAUCAUAUCUGUGCACAUGACAGGUCUUUUAAAAUAUUCCAGAUGUUUACCUCUUGAUUUUCUCAAACCUAUAUUUGCAGGCAAGGCUUUUCUAAGGCUAGGGAUCCACAUUUCUGACCAAAUACAUUCUUUGUAUUUAAAAUUUACCAGUGGCCUUAUACGGUAUUCUUUUUACAUGUUUCUGUUCCUUCAGCUUUCCUACACUAUCUGUCAAAAACAAUUAAAUCACUGGAUUUUUCAUUGUUUGAAAUAACUGGUUGCAUUACCAUCUGGAAACAAUACAUUUUAAGUGCAUAAUUACGGAUGUUUGAAAUCCCAGGAACCCAACUUUAUGUGCACAGUACUAGGAGACAACAUGCUCAAAAAUGUAUUGUCAGCUGUGAGAUGAACAGUUGGAAAGGAAGAACAAUUUAAACCACUUUUCUGCUUCCUUCCACCCCGUAUCUUGAGAGAACUGAAGUCAGAUGCGACUGCAGAGCAAAAGAGAACAUUUUAGACUGCUCUUAUUUGCAUUGAAGGGCUGUUGCGGAUAACCAUUCAUCAUAUAUAACAUCACAGUGGAAAAUGUUUUGAGAUUCUGUAAUGUAAGCUGCAAUAUAGGAUAUUAAAGUUCUGCAAAACCACCACAUGUCAAACAUAGGACAAUUAGUCAAAACUUACUUAGUUAAAACAUUGCUUAUUAGUUAAACUUACGCUAGUUCCAGUGCCUGACUCCAUCUCCUUCCUAUCCCUCCUUUCCUUAUGUAUCACCUCUUCCACAAUAUAUUCAUUUGCCAUAAUAUAUCCCAACUGAAAAGAACCAGGCAAAUUUUCCAGCUUCAGUAAAGACACAGCUGCAGGUCCAGAUCAGCCUCUGAAAUCGUGUUGGAGUAUGUCCCUUGUACUGCCCCCAAAAGCAUCAAGCAACUCAAAAAAAGUAAGAACAGUUCAUUUCAUACAGGUCCAAACACUCCAUCGAAGAUAAAUUCUAGUUGGUUUUGAGUUAAUAAAGACAGUAUUCCCACUUGCCUACUAUCUAUCUGAUUUUUUUUUUUCCCUAGAAACACUUCGUACUGAAUGACAUUUAGCUUCCAGUCCUUUCAAGUCAUUUUGUGCCACGACACCCAUCAGUCAGUUAUCUUACUUUUUCCAUAGUCUGUAUUUGUAAAAAGGAAGGGUGGGGGAAUUCUCAGCUCUAUGCACUUCUAGAGAUAUCAAAAGUUUAGUUUCCAUGCCUUUUAACUGCCAAAGCCUUUCACCUCACUGAGCUGAUAGCAUGAUGGAGUACUGUUCAGACUGAUAACUAACUGUUAAGAAUUCUCUAGUAACAGACAGUAUGCCAAAUUUGUGGUCUCUAUGGGAGAUUAUAUUUGGCUAAGAAGCAUGGGGAGAAGAGAACCACAGGAAUUCAAUUGGAUAUUAUGUAACAUGGCCAAUGGUAAAAUUAAAAAAAAAAAAAAAAAAAAAAAAAAAAAAAAAAAAAGGUUCUUUCUGCAAACCAGGAUUCUAUGUAGAGGCAGCCACAGUGGACCAAAUCCUCAACUGGAUCUGCAACCUGACCUGACUGUACAGUCUGUGUGCCACUUAAGAGAUGUCAGGAAAAGAAAGUUAGCCUAACAGGUUUUUAACCAGAGAAGACUCAACUUGCCUCCUCACACAGAGAAGAAGCAAUGUGAUUAAAGGGGGAAAAGUGGUGGUUGGUCAGUUAGUAAUCAUUGAAAUCUCAAAUGCACAAAUGGCACCGAACUGUGGAAAUUUCAGUGGUUCCAAAUCCUCUCUGUUUAUGUUUGGAGAGACAAUAAAGAUGAAUGACCAGAGCUUUGUGAAUGCCAUUUAAGCCCUUGGAGUCCCUUUCCCAUACUACUCAAAGUUAACAUACAGUUACCUUUCUACUGCUAGAUAUGAAAAGAAACAAACUGAACAUUGAUGGAUGCAUCCUACUAUCAAAUUUAGGAGUGGAUUCAGUACUAGUUUGUGGCUAAGGAUAAAUGCUUAAAACUCUGACCUUCAUACCAGUAAAUGUCUGCUUUAUGAAAGGUAUUUUUCCUAAAUCAAUAAAGUUAAAAUCAACUUGACCAAGAUUACCCCCACGAAAUUUACUUCUCCUUUCCCAAAUCACUUUGACAGUAAAUCAUCUCUUCUGUACAAUUUUGUAAUGCAGAUAUGAUUUUUAUUUGAAUUACACUCUGAAGUAGGCAUACAAAAAUCAAUAUAUCAAAUUUCCUAAAGAACACAGGGGUGAUAGCAUUUCAUGCCAGUUAUACCCCACUCCUCAAUUUUGCACUACUGUGAGCCACUGAUAGGCAUGUAAACCUAUGCAGUGUGAAGACAGUUUAAUGAAGAAUAGCAUAAGACACACGUGACCAGAGAGCCUUGGCAUAACUACUAUAAAGGGACUAACACACAGCAUUAAUAAAAGACAAAGUAGUCUAAAACAUUUUGAAACAACAGUCAAAGGGAAUUCCUAUUGCAGCUGAAAAGAACACAAAACAGUCCCAAGCAUCUGAUGGAAGGAUUAAUUAGUUGCACAUUGUUAUGCAUUGAGGAAGAGUAUUUCAGAUUCAUCAGGACUCUUAUGUUUUAUUGUGUGAAGACAGGUGCCCCAGACUGCACCUAAGCCUUGUUAAGAUACUGCUAAAAGUUGCAUAUAAUGCCAGAUGUUUUUAAAGAUUUUUAAAUAUUUGUUGUACAUUUUCUUAAAUACAGAACUUCAAAGAAAAUCAAGGGUUUCUGAUGUGGGAGAAACAGUCAAUUAUCUGCAUAAAAUGCAUUUCUUUUCCUCUUUUGAAUAAAAUAAAUGGCUUUGUUGGCUCAUGAUGUAUUGACUGAGACACACACAGGAAAGAAUGUGAUUAAAUAGCUUUUCAUUUGGUGCAUUGUUUAUGUAUUCAGCCCUGAUGAUAAUGUUCCCAAAGACAAUCAAUCAUUGAUUUUAAUUUGCUUUACUGUGUUAAAGAAAAGAGUGAAUUAAAUGUAGAAUUUAUUUAGCCUUCCCUUGCAUUCUGUAAUAAUCCAGAUGGAGCAUAUACGUUUUCUGUUUAGUGACACUGGCAUGAUUAAGAAAUGACAUAAAUGAGCAGUGCAUUUUUUUAGGGUUCAUUAAUGAAAGUUAGAGAUAUAAAAAGCCUAUUGAUCAUCAAGUUUAUCUCUUUUUUGUAUACUUGAGUUUACUAUAUGAUCAACAGUCAUGUAUUAUUAUCAAUUUAUACAGAAUCACUUGUGUGAGAGGGACCUUAACUAACUCUGAACUAAGUGAGAUCUUUCCAUCACUAACGGAUCACUUCAUGAUCUAAGAUGGAUAAGUCCCUGCACAAGACAGACUGGAUC
Long non-coding RNA from Dromaius novaehollandiae (emu), 11365 nucleotides. RefSeq lists it as uncharacterized. The transcript is spliced from 3 exons. The record is from RefSeq and is a predicted model, not a curated record. Lineage: Eukaryota; Metazoa; Chordata; Aves; Casuariiformes; Dromaiidae.